Molecule: long non-coding RNA, 1181 nt
Filed under: Drosophila guanche
Lineage: Eukaryota; Metazoa; Arthropoda; Insecta; Diptera; Drosophilidae
Source: RNAcentral
GGAUUAAUCGCCGUUUAAAUAUUUAUAUGAAAUUAUUAAAUUUCAUUUAUUUUGCACACAGCAGAUGUACUACAUAUGUAUGUAUGUACAUAUGUAUGUAUGUAUGUAUGUAUAUGUUCAUCCUAUCUAGACCCAUGCGGGUGUUACUGUUACUAAUUGAAAUGCUUUGAUGACGUGGCCGUUGACAUUUUUUAGAUUUUUAAUUAAAUUGCUGUCAAACAUUUUUUUGCUGAUAUUUUUCAUUUACAGUUGGUUGAGUUUUAUGAGGGAUUUUCAGCACCCGCAAAUGGUGGCCAGCUGCCCGUUCUCCCCUAAGAGCAAGUGUCAAAUUAUUACAUGCUAACUAAUUUUCUGUACUGGCUGUUUGUUUUUGUUUAUAUUUUUAUUUUUGGUGUGGUUCUGUUUGUGUCUAAAGCCUUACUAUAUUUUCGUUUUUGUGAAUGUGUGUUUUUGCUUUUUCUGAGAGUGUUCUUUUCAACCACAAAAUUGAAAUGUUUUAAUUGAAACUAAAUGUUGCCCCUGUGUAUUGCUGGCAAAUAAAACAAGGGCCAGCACAAGAGCAAACACACAAGUUGGUCGAAAGCAAUAACAGCGACGUCCACACACACACACACACACACACACACACGAAUAAUAAUUACAUCGAAUGCACUCUCAAUCCGAGACUCCGUCACAAUGCAGUCGGUAUGUUCGGGAAAUCCGCUUAGCAGCCUCCACUGCUGCGUUUAUGGGCGACCGUAGGCCGGCGUUCCUGCUUAUCCCAUUUGUUCCAUUCUCCAUUUUGCCCGCCGUUGCAUGCAUAACUGUAUCGAAUUGCAAUCGAAUGGUGAUUAACGGAGAGAGUCCAGGACCCACACUCCAGGGGGAAUGAAAAGCUUCACCAAAUUUAAUUGCAUAUCUUCACGGCCCUUUUUGUGGCGUUAUAAUUUUGGUGUGGUCUUUUUUAGAAUUUCCCCAUUGCAAAGCGUUUAAAAAAGGCCAGAAGCUUAAGCCCUCCGUGCGGUCAACAAAAAGCUGGCCGCAAUGGGAAAAAUAAAUACGGGCUCAGGCUGUUUGGAUGAAACAGGACCUCGAGGACGGGACAGGAGUCGACUGCUGUCCUUUGGGUCCUUUCAGACACACACACACAAACAGAGCACAUAAAAAUGCAUUAAAUAAAAUUUGUCAUAUAAAUCUUGCAA